RNAcentral lists this ribosomal RNA (253 nucleotides) under uncultured bacterium. RNAcentral describes it as "partial 16S ribosomal RNA". It matches the Rfam family "Bacterial small subunit ribosomal RNA", at positions 524 to 776 of the family's 1533-position model. The record is from RNAcentral.
UACGGGGGGGGCAAGCGUUGUUCGGAAUUACUGGGCGUAAAGGGCUCGUAGGCGGCCAACUAAGUCAGACGUGAAAUCCCUCGGCUUAUCCGGGGAACUGCAUCUGAUACUGGAUGGCUUGAGUUUGGGAGGGGGAUGCGGAAUUCCAGGUGUAGCGGUGAAAUGCGUAGAUAUCUGGAGGAACACCGGUGGCGAAGGCGGCUCUCUGGCCCGUAACUGACGCUGAGGUGCGAAAGCGUGGGGAGCAAACAGG